Molecule: long non-coding RNA, 433 nt
Filed under: Numida meleagris (helmeted guineafowl)
Lineage: Eukaryota; Metazoa; Chordata; Aves; Galliformes; Numididae
Description: lncRNA (ENSNMEG00000018605.1)
Source: RNAcentral
GCCUGUUCCAAAAAUGUUUUCUCACGUGUGUGUUUAUUUUGUUUUCUCCCUCCCCUUUCCAGCUUUUAACUGAUGAAAUCUCAGUUCAGCUGAGAAGAAUACGAAGGAGCUGCUCCUUCAUAUAAGGCACAACGUUUGCACCCUCUUGCGCACCGAGAUCUCUGCCUCCUCCACCAUGCUGUUGUCCUGAAAAUACAAAUCAUAACUUGGAGAAACACUGAAAUUCAGGAGAGGUGCAUUCUCUGAAACAGGUAGCUUCUUGUCACUAUUUAUCAUUGUUGUUUAUUUAGUGUCAGAUAUAAUUUAAAUGAUUGAAAGCAUGGCAAAAGUUAUUAACUGACUGCUUCACUUGUAAAUAUUUUGGGAACUGCCACCUCCAUACAUGAGAUCACAAAGUCUUUUUGAGCUGUAUAUCAGAAUGGAACAAUUUGAC